UACGUAGGGUGCAAGCGUUGUCCGGAUUUAUUGGGCGUAAAGAGCGUGUAGGCGGCUAGGUAGGUCGGUUGUGAAAACUGGAGGCUCAACCUUCAGACGUCGACCGAAACCCCCUGGCUAGAGUCCGGGAGAGGAGAGUGGAAUUCCUGGUGUAGCGGUGAAAUGCGCAGAUAUCAGGAAGAACACCCGUGGCGAAAGCGGCUCUCUGGAACGGUACUGACGCUGAGACGCGAAAGCGUGGGGAGCGAACGGG
Molecule: ribosomal RNA, 253 nt
Filed under: uncultured bacterium
Lineage: Bacteria
Description: partial 16S ribosomal RNA
Rfam family: Bacterial small subunit ribosomal RNA
Source: RNAcentral